RNAcentral lists this unclassified non-coding RNA (374 nucleotides) under soil metagenome. Its description in RNAcentral is "partial contains 5.8S ribosomal RNA, internal transcribed spacer 2, and large subunit ribosomal RNA". The stretch from base 1 to 119 matches the Rfam family "5.8S ribosomal RNA", at positions 35 to 154 of the family's 154-position model. The record is from RNAcentral.
GAUGAAGAACGUAGCGAAAUGCGAUACGUAAUGUGAAUUGCAAAUUCAGUGAAUCAUCGAGUCUUUGAACGCACAUUGCGCCCGCCAGUAUUCUGGCGGGCAUGCCUGUUCGAGCGUCAUUUCAACCCUCAAGACCCCUUCGGGGGACUUGGUGUUGGGGACCGGCACAGGGGCCUGCCUGCUUGUCUUGCAGCGCCCUCGCCGCCCCCGAAAUGAAUUGGCGGCCUCGUCGCGGCCUCCCCUGCGUAGUAGCACAACCUCGCAACGGGAACGUGACGGCGGCCACUGCCGUAAAACAACCCCAAUUUUAUUAGAGUUGACCUCGAAUCAGGUAGGAAUACCCGCUGAACUUAAGCAUAUCAAUAAGCGGAGGA